GGGAAUGUGACUUAGUGGUAGAGUUCUUGCCUAGCAUGCAUGAAGUCCUGGGUUCAAUUCCUCAAAACCA
Dipodomys ordii (Ord's kangaroo rat) is the source of this 70-nucleotide non-coding RNA. Lineage: Eukaryota; Metazoa; Chordata; Mammalia; Rodentia; Heteromyidae. The record is from Rfam.